GAUGAACGCUAGCGGCAGGCUUAAUACAUGCAAGUCAAGGGGCCAGUAAUGGCACCGGCGGACGGGUGCGUAACGCGUACACAACGUACCUUUGGGUGGGGGAUAGCAUCGGGAAACUGGUGGUAAUACCCCAUGGUAUUGGAGACUGGCAUCAGUUUUCAAUUAAAGACUACGCCCAAAGAUCGGUGUGCGUCUGAUUAGCUAGUUGGUAGGGUAACGGCCUACCAAGGCGACGAUCAGUAGGGGAUGUGAGAGCAUGAUCCCCCACACGGGUACUGAGACACGGACCCGACUCCUACGGGAGGCAGCAGUAAGGAAUAUUGGACAAUGGUCGGAAGACUGAUCCAGCCAUGCCGCGUGAAGGAUGAAGGCGCUCAGCGUUGUAAACUUCUUUUGUACGGGAACAAAAUGCGACCUGCGGGUUGUACUGAGGGUACCGUAGGAAUAAGCACCGGCUAAACUCCGUG
This 467-nucleotide ribosomal RNA is filed under the name uncultured bacterium. Its description in RNAcentral is "bacterial SSU rRNA". It matches the Rfam family "Bacterial small subunit ribosomal RNA", at positions 28 to 507 of the family's 1533-position model. The record is from RNAcentral.